Long non-coding RNA from Cyprinus carpio (common carp), 5783 nucleotides. The record is from Ensembl. Lineage: Eukaryota; Metazoa; Chordata; Actinopteri; Cypriniformes; Cyprinidae.
GAAAGGACAGAUGAACCUCACAAUAAUCAACCUUAUUCAACAGAUUGAGGCGACGAGAGAAAUGGUGCGAAAAGCAAAAUUCCAGAUUGAAAGCCAAAUGGCAGGAAGUCAGAUGGAGAUGACAGACCAAGAGGAGAUGAAUGCUGAGAUGCAGAGGCUCAUUCUGGAGAUUGAACACAUCCGUGAAAUGCUGCGAGGUCUUAAGGGUGAGGUGGAACACAACAAGGAAAUGAUGAAGAGAGACAGGGAUGAGAUGAGGCUGCUGAAGAAUGAAGUUCAGCGAAGGAGAAGAGAGAUUGAAUACAGAGAAGAAAAGAUUAUAAGAGAACGGGACAAACUAGAACUCAUGAGAAAUAUGUUGCAGCGGCAAAGAGAGGAACUGGAGGAGAGGUUGGAGGAGACCAUUAAAGAGAAUGAUAAGGUGGAGCAGAUGAGAGAUGAUGUGAAAAAUGCCUUGGAGAACAUAGAACGGGCCAAAAAAGAGAUAAAGAGAGAGAAAGAACUCAUUGCUCAAGAAAAGACAGGAAAAGAAAAGGUUCAACCAGCCAUCAUUCCAACCGAGAGCCAAGAGUAUGCAAAAACAGAAGAACCAGCUGCCAUUAAAGUGGAAGACUUUGUCAGUGAUAGACAGAAAGAAAGACAAAAACUGGAACAAUAUAAAGAAAUCCUUUUAAUAGAGAAACAUGAACUAGAGAAGACAAAGGAGGAUGUACAAGCGCUGCAGAAUAAAACUGAAGAGAUGAUGACAAAAUUACAAGAGGAGGAAAAGGAGAUGGAAAAGAAACAAGCGAGUCUACAAAACUGGGAAAGACUGCUGCAAUCAGAAAGAGAGGAGAACCAGAGAGGUUUAGAUGUAAUAUGGAAAGAGAAGAAGCAGCUGGAUCAAAGAAAACAAGAACUAGACAAUAUGGAAAUAAAUCUACAGAGAGAGAAAUAUGAAUUGGAAAAAACAAGAAAGAUUAAGCAAGCUGAUGUGCAAGUCCAAACUGAUGUGAUGGAUGAUGUAGGAAAACAUCAGAUGAUCUUGACCAUGGAGGAGCUGGAUAAAGAGCGACAAGCACUAGAGUAUUUCAAAAAAGACUUACUUGCACAAAAAAGUACAAUUGAGAGACAACUGGCAGAAAUAAAAAUGAGCAAGGAUGAAUUUUCGCUCAAAGAAGUCGCACUGCAAACUGCAACAAAACACGCAGCAGACAUGGAGUUGCAAUUAGAACAGCGAAAACAGGAGCUAGAACAAACAAAAGAUGAGCUGGAAAAGACAAAGCUAGAAAAAGAAGACAUGAUAAGAACAGAAUUAGAAAAAGCAAGAGAUGUCCUAAAUCACAUUAGACAGGAUAUAGAAAAACAAAAACAAACCAUGGAGGCUGAUCUAAAAGACACUUUUGCUAGAGAACUAGAAGACAUCGAAGCUCAGCAAAAAAGGAUAGAGGAUGAAAAGAGAACAUUAGAGAACAUGAAAUAUGAGCUGGAAAAGGAGUCUAGUGAUGUUGAAAGGUUAAAACAGAAUGUGCAGAAAGAAAGACAGAACAUGGAGAAAUGGGCAGAGCAGCUCAAAAAAGAGAGGGAGGAACUAGAAAAGAAAAUGUGUGAUAUUCAACAAAUACAAGCACAGAUAGUGAGAGAAAAGAAAGAGCUAGAGAAUUCGAGAGAGGAGAAUGAGCAGACAUUGAAGGAGAUCAUAAUGGAGAGAGACACUCUUGAGAAACAAAAAGAUGAUUUUGAGAAUGAGAAGGAAGAAAUCAAGAAAAGAGAAAAUGAACUGCAGCAAAUGCAAGCUGAUCUUAACAGACAACAAAAAGACAUGCAUGAUAUUCAGAAUAUAGUUUUCAUGCAAAAAAGUCAACUUCAGAUAAGCCAAGAGGAAAUAGCUGAAAAGCUAAAACAGGUCGAUAACAUCAUGCAGUUCACACAAAAUGAAAAAGACAGUCUUGACAGAGAGAGGGCGGCUAUAAUGGAGCAGAAGCAGCAGAUGGAGAGAAACAUGACAGAUGCACUAAACAGAGAACUGGAAACUGUGGAACUUGUGAAACAAGAGAUACUAAAUGAGAAGCGACUUAUUGAGGACUGCAGAAUAGCUUUAAUGAGAGAGAUACAAGAUUUGGAGCAAAAGAAAAUCAAUUUGGGGGCUCAGGCGGAUGAGAUAAAAUUACAAAGACAAAGUAUUGCAGAAGAGAAAAACACGUUGGAACAAACGAAAUCUUUGCUGCAAAGAGUAGCUGAAGAUACUGAGAAGCUAAGACAAGAUACACAAGCUGAAAGACAUAAAAUUAAAAACACUGCUGUGCAACUUCAGAAAGAGAGAGAUGCCAUUGUGAGUCUUGCAGAGGAGACAAAAAGGAAGAGGGAGGACCUGGACAAAAUGCAAACUGAUAUAGAAAAGCAGGAAAAAGCCAUGAAGGCUAAUCUGCAAAAAGAAGCCAGUGUCAUUGAAAAUUUAAGACAAGCUGUUCAAAAUGACAUACAAAACAUAAAAGAUAUGGAAGCCAAAAUUCUAAAAGAAAGACAAUACACUUAUAGUCUAGUUGAAGAGACUGAAAAAAGGUCAAAAGCUCUAGAUGAGCUACAUAUGGAGGUUGAAAAAGAAAAGCAAUGUGUUGAGUCUGAGAGAGAUGUGCUAGAACAGGAGAAGUUUAAGCUUAAAGAACUCAAAGAUGAAUUUGCUCAGCAAAAAGAACAGAACAGUAUUAUACUGGCAGAGAUACAGAAAGAAAGAGACAAUCUUAAGCAGUUGAUUGAAACCAUCUCAAAUCAAAGGUGCAUUGUUGAAAAUGAUAAAGAAAAUUUAAGACUGAGAGAAAAUGAACUGAAACAAAAAGAAGCAGAGAUGGAAAACAAACAAAAACAAAUAGAUGAGUUGAAGAGCAUUUUAAGGAUGGAAAAGAUGCAAGUUGAGCAGAUGCAAGCUGACCAAGAUCAACACAGGACAGCUGCACAUGAAAAAAUACAAUAUGUUAAGACUGUAAGAGAAAGAGAAGCGGCAGAUCUGGAGAAAGAGAGACAGGAAAUUGAGAAUUUGAGAGAAGAAUUGAGGGUAGAAUAUGAAAAUGUGGAGCUCCUAAAGGAAAAUCUAACUGAACAAAAAGAAGUAUUUAAAAGCCACAUGAAAUCACUGGAAAUGGAUAAGGACGACAUAGAGAAAAAUAAAGCCAAACUGCACAAAGAAUUUGAAAACUUGCAGUUUCACAGGCAAUCUUUUGAGAAAGAGAUACAGCAGGUGAGAGCUGAGCUUCAGAAAGAGACUGACAAUACUGAGAGAAUAAAGAAAGAGGUGGUGGCUGAAAAGCAGAGUAUAAAAGACAUGGCAGCUCAAAUUGAACAUGAGGGAAAUGACAGAAAAGAAGCUCUGGAGAGGAUGCGUCUUGAGCUAGAAAAACAAAAGCAAACAACUGAGACUGAAAAAGAUAUACUAGAAAAACAGAAAUCUGAAGUGGAGAGAAGCAAAACAGAGAUAGCUAGAGCAGAAGAAGAUCUUGCUGAAAAGAGAAAAAUGUAUGAUAUUGAUCGGUCAGAGAUAGAGAAGCAAACAAAUUCCCUUGAGCAAAUAAAGAUGAACAUCUCACAAGCGGAACAUGAUAUUAAAAAAGCCAAGGACAGUUUAAGACAUCAAGAAAAUGAACUGAAUAUACGUACCUCACAACUUUAUGCACAACAAAAAGAAAUAGAAGAGACUCAGGAUAUUAUCAUGAAACAGAAGAGUCAGCUUAAUGAAAAGCAGGAUGAAAUAGAAAAACAAAAGCGAGAACUGGAGAAUGUGAUGGACAGACUUGAGAAAGAGAGGACUGAUGUUAUGGAAGAAAGACAAAGAGUGAAUGACAUGCAAGUAGAACUGAAGAGGGAAAGUGAAAUAGUGGAGCUGAUGAAACAAGAAGUUCUCAGAGAAAAAGAAUCUAUUGAAAACAGCAGGAAAAUACUAAAAAGAAAUCAAGAGGAUAUUCAAGAAAAUAGAACCAUCUUAUCGCAAGAGUUUGAGACCUUAAACUACCAGAAACAAUUGAUUGGCAAAGAAAAGCAGGAAUUUUAUAAGAUGAAAACUGAGCUCCAACAGGAAAAGGAAAAUAUUGCUAAACUAAGGGAAGACAUAGAAAAUGACAGGCAGAAGGCUGAGGAAAUAGCAAACAAACUUCAAAAAGAAAAGGAAGUUAUAGAGACUUCUUUUGCAAGGCUAAGAUCAGAGGAAGCAGAUUUAAGAAAACAAAAACAAUCAAUUGAAUCUGAAAAGGAAAAGUCUGUCCUGGAGAAAACUAAAACAGAGAUAUCCAGAGCGAAAGAAGAUCUUGAGAACCAACUUGAAUCACAUAAAAGGCAAAAUGAAGUAACACUGGCUGAGAUACACAAAGAGAAACACAUUCUUGAGCAGUUAAGAAUGAACAUAUCAAGACAGAGAGAUGAUCUAGAAAAGGACAUUGAGCAAACAAGAUACAAACAAGCAGAGCUGCAAAGUCUAAAAAUGGAAAUUCAGAAACAGCAAACAGAGAUAGAUGAGCAGAAGGUGAUGAUUUCCAUGCAGAAGAGUGGGCUUAAAGACAUAAAAAUUCAAAUAGAUCAACAGAAAAAAGAGACAGAUGAAACCAAAGAACAGAUAAGGAAGGAGAGAGAUUAUAUCGAGAGGGAAAGAGCAGAAAUAAUUAAUCAAAAACAGCAUAUGGAGGUAAAUUUAAGGGAAGAACUAAAAAAGAAGAGUGAAAAGUUAGAACUGCUCAGAAAGGAGUUGUAUGAUGAAAAGGAAAGAAUUGACAACUGCAGGAAAAAAAUAAAAACAGAUAUGGAUGCUUUGGAACAAACAAAGCAUGAUGUAGUUAAAGAGUUGGAGAUUAUCAAGCUUCAGAAACAAAUGAUCGAGGAUGAGAAAAACAAGACUGAGCAGAUAAAAGCUCAGCUAAAAAGAGAAGCUGAAGACAUCGAGAAGAUAAAAGUAGUGACACAAAAUGAAAGACAGAAGCUUCAGGAAGCAACAACCCACCUUCAGAAAGAUAGAGACAAUGUUCAGAGUCUUGCAGAGGAACUUGACAAGAAAAAAGUGGCUCUAGAAAAUGUGCAACGGGAGAUAGAAAUGCAAAGGAAAGCAAAUGAGUCUAAUAAACAGAUGCAAGAAAGGGCUCUGUUUGAGCUGAAGAAAACUGUGACAGAUAUAGCAAGAGCGAAGGAGGAUCUUGAAAACCAGCUUGUUGAAGAAAGAGAAAAGAACAAGAUCACACUAGCAGAAAAAGACAUGCUUCUUCUACUGAGAGACAGUAUUUCAGAGCAACAGGAUAACAUUGCAAAUGAGAGAGAGCAAAUGGAAGACAUCAGAGAAGCAAUCAAACUAGAGAGGGAACUGGAACAAGAGAAAAUUGAAAUGGAUGAUGACAGGAAGAUGACUGAACAGGAAAGAAAAGACCUGGAAAAGAUGCGGUCUGAAACAAUGACACAAAGAGGGCAAAUGGAAGACAUGAGAGAAAACUGAAAUUGAUCAUGAGCAGAAGAAAAUGGAUGAUGACAGAAAGAUGAUUGAACAGGAAAGAAAAGAGCUGCAUAAGAUGAGGUCGGACAUAAUGACAGAAAGAAAGCAAAUGGAAGACAUGAGAGAAGCAAUCAAACUAGAGAGGUCCGCAUUUGACCAGAAAAAGCAAGAGAUUGAUCAAGAAAAGGAUGAAAUUGAAAAGAACAAAGAAAUAGAACUUGACCAUGAAAGACAAAAGAUCACUGAUGAAAAAUAUCUUCUAGCUCAAAGUAAGACAGAAAUGCAAAACGAAAGUGAACAAAUCAGAUACAUGGAGGAAAAAAUAAAGAAGGAGAGAGAAACA